CAAAAACAUCGCCUUUUGAUUAAAUAUAAAAGGUCCAGCCUGCCCGGUGACAAGAUUUAACGGCCGCGGUACCCUAACCGUGCGAAGGUAGCAUAAUCACUUGUUCUUUAAAUGAGGACUCGUAUCAACGGCAUCACGAGGAUCCUACUGUCUCCCCCCUCUAAUCGGUGAAACUGAUCUCUCCGUGAAGAAGCGGAGAUGUACAUAUAAGACGAGAAGACCCCAUGGAGCUUUAAACCCAACAACACCCGCCCCCCUCCAAAUCCUAUUAUUUACCCGGUGAUUGUUUGUUUGGUUUUAGGUUGGGGUGACCGCGGAGUAUAAGAUAUCCUCCAUGAAAAAAAGCUAACUGCCCUUAUUAGAGAAAGACACUUCCAAAAAAUAAUAAAUUAAUUUUAAAUGAUCCGACAUUCGAUCAACGAACCAAGUUACCCUGGGGAUAACAGCGCAAUCCGCCCCGAGAGCCCCUAUCGACAGGCGGGUUUACGACCUCGAUGUUGGAUCAGGGUAUCCCAGUGGUGCAGCAGC
This 528-nucleotide ribosomal RNA is filed under the name Boophis madagascariensis (Madagascar bright-eyed frog). RNAcentral describes it as "partial 16S ribosomal RNA". It matches the Rfam family "Bacterial large subunit ribosomal RNA", at positions 1808 to 2562 of the family's 2925-position model. Lineage: Eukaryota; Metazoa; Chordata; Amphibia; Anura; Mantellidae. The record is from RNAcentral.